Ctenopharyngodon idella (grass carp) is the source of this 12822-nucleotide RNA transcript. It is a transcript of the gene named lysine (K)-specific methyltransferase 2D, with no coding region annotated. The record is from RefSeq and is a predicted model, not a curated record. The transcript has 42 exons. NCBI's taxonomy places the organism in Eukaryota, Metazoa, Chordata, Actinopteri, Cypriniformes, Xenocyprididae.
AGUAUCACAUCUUUUCAGCACUACAAGAGACAGGUAAAACGAGAGGAACACUAACUUUACCAUGACCCAGGGUAGUGUACCCCUAAUUUGUUUGUCCUCUCAAAAGUAGGGGUCGCCGUUGAACUCAGCAUCGGUGUCAAAAACAUGUUUUAAUCUGCAGCCUGCACUCGCACAAGCAGAAAGCUGCUGCCGUAUCCUUCAAACUGUUACAUGAAGCAAGUUUAUCAAACAAGCUUGCUAGAUUUCUCCAGAUUGAAGAUCUGGGUGUGGGUUAGCCAAAGCUACUCAGUCUGGAUGAAAGCAGCAAACAUGAGAGUCCAGCAUGAACUCAUUUGAUUCAUUGGUAUUGGCCAGCCAAAAUCUUAAUAUCAGGUAGUUUUGCAAACGUUUGCUCGUCCGACAGCACUUCCCCCAUCAACAACAAACUAGUAAACCCUGCCUAGCCAAAGCUAGCUUAAUGAAAUGAAACGGACCCCAGCGAUUAUUAUCCGGAGGAUUGUUCCGAUCAUGUACGAGGACGUUAGCAACGCAUUGUAGAUCUCUGCAAUAGAGAUCUUCUUCAGGAGUAGGAAUGGACGAGCAGAAAUCAAACUGCGAAGAAAAUGAUUCAGAAACUGCAGCUGAUGAUGGGACCGCUGCAAAGGAGAGCGUCCAAGUUGAGGGGGAACUGAGUGCCCCUGUUGCAGCAGAGGACGUCUCGGGCACUAGUGUGGACACUUCCAGCUCAUCAUUGGAGACUGUCAGGGCCUGUGCUCUGUGUAACUGUGUGGAGCGUAGUCUGCAUGGUCAACGGGAGCUCCGGUGUUUUGGACCCUCUUCCGAUCGGCCCAGCUUGGAGCCCUCUGUCUCCUCUCUGCCAGCAGCUGGAAACGAUGACCUGUCUUCCAUUGGAUUCUCUGAAUCCACCUGUCUGGCAUCUUUCUUUGAUGACAAAGGGAGCUGCUGGGUUCACCACUGGUGUGCCGUGUGGUCAGAAGGAGUGGAACAGACUGAGGGUGAGGUGCUGAUAAACGUGGAUAAGGCAGUCAUCUCAGGGAUACAGCGGCCAUGUGAUUAUUGUAAACGGAUGGGCGCUACCAUCCGGUGCCGGGCCGAAGGCUGCUCACGGUUCUACCACUUCCCCUGCUCGGCUGCGAGUGGAUCAUUCCAGUCCAUGAAGCAGCUGGCGCUCCUCUGUCCAGAGCACAUAGACAAGGCGGAGGAGAUUGCCGGAGAGGAGGCGCGGUGUGCAGUCUGCGACUCCGUUGGAGACCUGUCGGGUUUGCUAUACUGUACGGGCUGUGGGCAGCACUAUCAUGACGCCUGUCUAGAAAUCAGUGCUACACCACUUCAGCGGUCAGGCUGGCAGUGUCCCGAGUGCAAGGUUUGCCAGACCUGCAGGCAACCAGGAGAGGAUUCGAAGAUGCUGGUUUGCGAUGCUUGUGACAAGGGCUACCACACCUUCUGUCUACUGCCAGCCAUGGACUCUGUUCCCCCUGAUUCAUGGAAGUGCAAACGGUGCCGUGUGUGUAUUGACUGUGGCAUGCGAGGGCUGAAGCUUCCUGGCUCUGAACAGUGGUUUGAGAGCUACACGGUAUGCGAUGGCUGCCAGCGCAGGCGCACCUCUGUAUGCGGCGUGUGCAGUAAAGCCGUGGAGCCCUCGGCCUCCCUCCAACAUUGCUGUGCCAUCUGCCACAGAUGGGUACACAGUGAUUGUGCCUCUCUGUCAGGGCCUCCUGAGGAGAAAUGCAUCUGUGUGCUCUGCAAAGAAAUCCCAGAUGAGGUUCCAAUCGAGUCUGAGGUGUCAUCCACACAUGUAGAUGAAAAAGCUGAUUUGGAGGUGCCAAUGGAAUUGGGGACAGAGCUUGAGGUGGUUGGAAUGGCAGAAGUGAAAGAAAGCAUUAUAGAGGAGGAACAACGGCCAGAAGGUGCUGAGGGCUCCACAGAGGCUAAUGUGCACAGUGAGGUCUCUACAGAGCAGAAGCCUCCUUUAGCUACGCCUUCAAAUAUGGAUGAAAAACAAAAAGAGGAGAGCACCAGUGAAACAGUGGUUACAGAGGCCGUUGAAGAGAAAUCAGAGGACACUCAGGACCCUCCUAUGAAGGAUAGCCCAGACAGCCCUGUCCCUGACACUAUAGAGGAAGCCCAACCUGAUGUAUCCGAGACUCCUGUAGAAAGGCAGGAGUCGCAAGGGCAAGACGAGCCUCCUCAAACAGAGACAGAGUUGGACAGUACAGUGGAGGCCACUGAAACAAAGCCUCCGACAAGCCUGUGUUCUCAAUCUUCUCAAAUCACACUCCCUGUUUUGGAAGAAGCAGAGCCAGUUGCGAUGGACUUGGAGGACGAGAGUUCUGAGACGCGGCAAGAGGCAAUAGACAGGACUCCUCCACCUGCUCCUCAGAUGGAAAUGCCCCCUGCAUCUGACACUGAUGACAGAAUGGGCCAGUCUGAGGAUGAGGAAGAGGAGGAUGAGCAGGGGGUGGAGGAAUCCUUAGAGGAAUCGCUCCUCAAAGAUGACAGUCAGGGAGAAGACGAUCAGUCCAGGAAGGAGAUGCAAGAGGAUAUGAAGCCUGAGCUGGUCCUCGAUGAGACAUCAAACAUUAGCCAUGGUGACGAGAGCAGCAGCGGUUUCCUUGGCUCGCCGGCUGAGGCAGACUCUCAGAUGCUGUCCAUGGAACUCAGCCUGGUGCCAGCUGGCAGGACCCGUUCUGAUUCGCUGCUCACCGAAACUGAGGACUCGUUGCCUUUUGAUCCGCUGAAGCCCGAUGGGGAGAAAGUGAAGCGUAGGGGUUCUCCAGGACGCUCACGAGUCAAGCAGGUGGAUGGACGAGGCAGUGGUUUCCCAGGGAAACGGCGGCCGCGAGGUGGUGGUGGUGGCGGCGGCAGCGGUGGUGGAAGAGGUCGUGGACGGUCACGUCUCAAAGCAAUGGCCUCUUGCAUUGACGCCUUUAUACUAAGCAUGACUGCAGACACUGGACUUAGCAAAGAAGAAGAUGAGGAGGAAGAUGACACCAUGCAAAAUACUGUGGUACUUUUCUCCAACACUGAUAAGUUUGUCCUGCAGCAGGACAUGUGUGUAGUGUGUGGUAGUUUUGGACAAGGUGUGGAGGGCCAGCUUUUAGCCUGUGCUCAGUGUGCACAAUGUUAUCAUCCAUACUGUGUGAACAGCAAGAUCACCAAGAUGAUGUUAAGAAAAGGCUGGCGUUGUCUUGAGUGCAUUGUGUGUGAGGUGUGUGGGAAGGCUUCAGAUCCUGCCCGAUUGCUGCUUUGUGACGACUGUGAUGUCAGCUAUCACACUUAUUGCUUGGACCCACCCUUACAGACUGUGCCCAAGGGAGGCUGGAAGUGCAAAUGGUGUGUGUGCUGUAUGCAGUGUGGUGCUAGCUCCCCUGGGUUCCACUGUGAGUGGCAAAAUAACUACAAUCACUGCGGCCCGUGCGCCAGCCUGGUAACAUGUCCUGUGUGUCGGGAGAACUUCAUGGAGGAGGAGCUGCUUCUGCAGUGUCAGCACUGUGACAGAUGGGUUCAUGCUGUAUGUGAGAGUCUUUACACUGAGGAUGAGGUUGAACAAGCAUCUGAUGAAGGCUUUGCCUGUACAGCCUGCACUCCAUAUGUCCCCAGGCCUAUCGUGGAGUCUCCCAUGAUGUCGGCUUUCAAAAUGAAAGAACCAGAGCCACAGUUUUAUCGUCUGGAGGGUGUCUGGCUAACAGAGACUGGCAUGUCUUUAUUGCGAAGCAUCUCCAUGUCACCCCUGCACAAGCGCAGGCAGCGCCGGUCCCGACUGGGCACCAUGUGUAUUGAUGAGCUAAAAGAAGGCGAUGCAGAUGGUGAUGAGGGGAAAGGAGGUGCAGAAGCGAUGGAAUGUGAGCCUAAGCUGGAAGCACCAGGGAGCCCAGACAGGGAUGGAGGAGUGGACAGAGAAACUGGGACAGAUGGAGGUAUAGAGGGCAUGGCUGACUGUGAAACUCUCAAAGGAGGAGUAGAAGAGACUGAUGACGGGAAGAAGAGAAAGCGGAAACCAUACAGACCAGGGAUUGGAGGGUUCAUGGUCCGGCAAAGAAAGUGUCACACACGAAUGAGGAGGAGUCUGUCUGCCUCUGGUGAUGCUGUUCCUGAAGGUCAAGCAGCUGAAACGAAACUUGAGGAAGGACCUCAUCCUGAUAUACCUCUCGAUGUCCCAGAGGCAAAGACAGCAGAGGGAGAGGGUGAGCAAGCCAAAAAGCGCAGGGGCAGAAAGAAGAGCAAGUUGGAGGACAUGUUUCCUGCAUACCUACAGGAGGCUUUCUUUGGCAAGACAUUGCUCGAUCAGAGUAAGAGAGCCUUUCUUGCUCCUCCACCCCAAAGACAUACGCAGGGCAUUCUGAGACCUCCUCUCCCUGGGAAUGGGGCCAGAAAUACAGCCUCAGAACCAACUGAGUCCACAGUAAGGCCGACUGGUCUUCCCAUGGAACUAAAGCAAGAGGUUGAAGGAUCUAAGCCUCCAGGUGAUCGAGCAGCAGUAGGGCCAGGAGCAACUGGGCAACUUUCCAACACAGAUCAGAGCUCAGGAGGUGCACAAGGGUCUGACAUACAGAAGAAUGAAGAUCUCCCUCUGGGACUAGAAAGUCAGGAUUCUGAGCAGUUCUUCCGCAAAGUACUUGGACCCACUGAGGGGAGCUCUGUGAGUGGGCCGCUGCAGCCUAGCAUUAAGCCUGUUCAGGAGAGUGAUUCAAAUCAAAGUGGUUUCCCUCAAAGAAACCUCCUUCCAGGUGCUUCCUUAUCUGGUGCACUCCCCUCAACUGGUAUGAUGGACUCUUUUUCAGGUCUCUCCCAGUCCCCCUUUUUCGAUAUACGUGAUCGAGGUGGUCUUUUCAGUCCAGACCAGGAUGAGGAAAGUCCAUGGGCAACACCAUCCACUCCAGCCACCCCUUCUACUCCUCCAACUCCUACUGAACAGGAAGGUGAUGGCCUCUCCUACAAUCAGCGCAGUCUGCAGCGUUGGGAGAAAGAUGAGGAACUGGGAAAUCUGUCUACCAUCUCUCCUGUAUUAUAUGCUAACAUGAACUUCCCUAGUCUCAAACAGGACUACCCUGACUGGGCAAGUCGCUGCAAACAAAUAAUGAAGAUUUGGAGGAAGGUAUCAGCUGCAGACAAGGUUCCUUAUCUGCAAAAGGCCAAAGAUAAUAGGGCUGCUCAGAGAAUAAACAAGGCACAGAAGCAGGCAGAGAGUCAAGUAUGUCGGCCUAUCAAAACUGAGCCUGGCCGUAUUAAAGGGGAGCGCCCUAAUCUGCACCUCCAAAUUCCCCCACCCUCAGGCUCUGUAUCCACUUCCUCCCAGCCAAGCUCUGCUGAGAGUCCUUACCCCCAUGCCCCAGACUCUGCAUCUUCAGCCUUUUUUCCUGAUGGACCCCUCAAGACUCCAUGCUCAGCUGAUUUGCAGACAGACCCAUUUUCUAAACUUCCCUCUCAGUCUCCGCACCUUCAAUCUCAGCCAUCCACCCCAUACUCGCAGCCUUCUUCCAGCCCCUUGCCAGCCUCUUCCUCAGGAUAUUCUAUGCCUGGCUCACAGGGUGCUACUCAGGGACGGCCAGCCAGUUUCGGCUCCCUUGACAUGCAACCAGGGACUCCUCGUAGGGCCCAGCAGGUUGACCCAUUUUUUAGAUCACAACAGCAGAUCCCCAAACCUCAGCAGCCCUCUCAGGAGGCCUUAGGUCCACCUGAGAGUCCUCGACCUAGGCCUGGUGGGCCUGGAGAUUCUCAGAUGUUCUCACCACCUCAUACAACACAGUGUGGCGACCCUUACCGUGGCCAGCAUGGAGCUGCUCGACAAGAUCACGCUUCAUCUCCAUCUGCAAUAGCUUCUUCACCUGCUGGGGUGGGCCCAAAUAGGGCAGAAAUUAAUGCCCCAUCUCCACGUUCUUCUUUUGGCAGACAAGACCUAAGCUCUGGUUCUCCUGCUAGUUUGGACUCUGGAGAUGGGUUAUUCAAAGCCCCCAUGACACCUCGUAUGCAUCAGGGGGAUGCAAGUGGCAUGUCUGUUUCGCACCCUCCAGGUGCCUCUCCUAAUCAUCCUGACAACUACCGCCAAUCUCCCUCCACGUUCUCUGACCCUUACACCCAGCCUCCUCUCACACCGCGACCUCAGUCGGGCGAUGGCUCCUCUCCUGUACCCCAAAGGCUUCCUGCGCCUCAGCAAGAAACAUAUUCAAGAUUGCCUUCCAGUCCUCAGUCGCAAGGCAGUUCUCAGUCGCCUCUCACACCAGGAGCUAUUUCCAAUGAUAUGCAUUCUGUGCAGUCGCCAGCCACUCCACGCUUCCAGUCGCCUGACCCUUACUCCCGCCCACCCUCACGACCUCAGUCCAGAGAUCCCUUUGCCUCACUGCAUAAACCCCCUCGCCCAUCUUCUGUAGCACCAGAAGGUAACUCCCCCUAUAGAGGCUCACCUCAUCAUAGCCAGCAACCCCCCUGCUCACCCUCAGUAGCAGAUCCGCUCUCUGGAAAACCCCCUGCUUUCAGCUGCAGUCCUGGUGUAGGGCUUCAAAUGGGCCAGCAACAAGUAGUUGGCCAGCAGCAGAUGAUGACUACUCAGCAAGCUCAGGUCCAUCUCCAGCAGCCACAAUCCCUGAAGCAACCAGUGGGUGCUGAUUUUAACUCAAGAAUAGCACUUCAACCUGGAAACCAAGAAACGACUGUGCGGCCAACAGAUGCUCCACAUUUACCCAACAUGCCAGGGACGCAGGAUAUGUCAGACCUGUCAGCUGGACAGGAUCCAGCUCUCAUAAGCCUUAGUCCAUCCGAGCUAGAAAAGCACAGACAGAGGCAGCGAUUAAGAGAGUUUUUGAUAAGACAAAAAAUGCAGAGAAACUCACUUCGCCAAGAGAAGGAAGCACCUGUGGUGAGUAAUCCUGCUCAGAAUUGGCAAAGUGGGGAAAUGCCAGCCUUUCCGCAAGACAAAAGCCAGCGAGCACCACCUCCUUAUCCUCAGGACAGAGCUGUGGUUGCUCAGGCAGCACUUGGCAGCAGGAUGCCUCUGCCAAUGGGAGCAGUGGAUGAAAAGCUUUGCCGCCCACCUCCUCCUGGGACACCAGCAACUAUGGAGCCCAGUGCAUUAAGGCAAGCUGGGCCCAAUAUUUCUCAGGGGAUGUAUCCUCGCCCACCAUUUCCUGCACAGUGGCAAAACCAAGGCGCUCCACGGAGGUUCCCACAACCAUCUAUGAUCGAAGGCGUUCCCAGGCAGCACCUUAAUACUCCCAUCAACAGUUCUCUCAACAUGCAGUCCAUGCAGAACAUCCCUAAUCCUUUGACAGGGGUUGUAGGCACUGGCGCAGAGGCUGUACAAAGCCAUGUUUCGGGAGCACCACCUCAGUUUAUAGAGCUGAGGCAUAAUUCCCAGAGGAUGCCACUGGGUCCUCAGUUUAUGCAAAGGGCGCCUACACCCAGACCACGCAUGUUUCUUCCACAGCAGGAAAUGAAUGCUGCUUUUGUUCAGCAGAACUUACCCCCGUCUCUCGAUGCUUCAGCGGAGGUUAUGCGUGAUCCCAGACUUGGGUUACAGCAGGGUGGCAUGGACUUAUUAAUGCAACAACAAAGCAAUGUACCCCCUCCUCAGUCUCAACUACAGCCGCAGCAGGUGCCAACUACUACACCUAAAACGCCCAUUUCUCACACUACUUCUCAACAGCUUCCUCAAACAAGUACAAUAGUAGGUCAGCAGACUGUUGUGAAUCCAGUUGACCUACCUGAGUCUGACCUAGAGGAUGCCUUUGCUUCCAAAGGGCUGGGUGAUACAGUGGCAGAAACCGGAGUGGAGGAUGAUGAUCUUGCUACUCUUGACCUUGAUCCUGAUAAAGGUGAUGAUGAUUUGGGAAACCUCGACAAUCUUGAGACCAAUGAUCCUCAUUUGGAUGAUCUGCUCAACAGUGAUGAAUUCGAUUUGCUGGCAUACACUGACCCUGAGCUUGAUCAGGGUGAUCCCAAAGAUGUUUUUUCUGACCAGUUACGACUUGUGGAAGCAGAGGGGGAAGGACCAGGGUCUUCUGCUAAUGUAGAAAUCAAGGUUGAAGAGAAACCAAGAGUGGAUUUAGCUUGCCGGGACAUGCGCACAACUACCACUCAACCACCUUUAAAGACUGAGAGUUCAUCUGCUACCAGUACUCCAAAAGUAGAGUCCUCUGAUGCCGUUAGACUGUCCUCUGUAAAACUUGAAGACAAGGAACAACCACAGUCAGGACAAGCUUCGGUUAAAGAUGAUCUCAGUGAAACUGUGUCGGUUUUGCUCAGUGGAACAAAAGCCUCUAAUCAACCAGAGACUGCAACUGCUUCUUUGAACACCGUCCGUUUAGGUGGUAUACCUUUUCCUCUUCCCAACCAAGCAGAUACACUGUCUUUUCCACCAGCUGCACCACAUCCAGACCUGGGUAAUGAUCCACUUGGGUUGCCAGAUUCUGGCCACCACUCUACAGCAGAAGAUCUAGACAAAGUAGAAAGCUCACUGGAAGCAAGUGAACUGCCUUUAUUAAUACAAGAUCUUUUAGAGCAUGAAAAGAAGGAGCUUCAGAAACAACAACAGCAGCAGCAUUUAAGUGCUCUACAGGGAGGGAUUGGUAGUCAACUUCACAGCAUUCAGAAUCCGCAACAGCCUCCUCAGGGGCCAAAUCAAAUUAUGAUGCCACAGCACCACCAUCCAUCCCAGGGCAUUGUGCCUCAAGCAGGUAUGGUGCCUAGGCCACCUCACGUGUUACCACAACAGCAGCAGAGGUUAAUUGGUGCUGCAAUGCCUUCACCUCCCCAUGCAGCAAUGGGACAGCAGCAAGGCAUUUUACGAGGUGGACAGCCCGGUAGAAUUCAUCCUGGUAUUACACCUCAGCAACAGACAGCACCACCUCCGCAUAUAGUUAAACAGCAAAACUUGGCCAGCAGCUUCCCAGCUUUCCCAGAUAAAGAGCUGGAUAAAUUCAUGGCAGAUGACAUAAUGGAUCCUAUUGCAAAGGCUAAAAUGGUUGCGCUGAAAGGAAUUAAGAGGGUGUUGGCUCAAGAUCCAAUGGGUGUACCACCUGGAAUAAACAGGCAACAAGUAUCUCUUUUGGCUCAGAGGUUAACUUCAGCCCCUGGAAAUGAGGAUUCCCAGGCUCAGCUUGCACCUGGGUCUUCCAAGGAUGGAGAAGGCAGCAACCAGGUUCAAGCUAGACCGAAUCCUCCACAAUUUGGCAUCAUCAAUGAUGCUGAGCAGCACCAAUAUGAAGAAUGGCUUGUGCACACCCAGCAGUUGCUGCAAAUGCAGUUGAAGUUCUUAGAAGAGCAAAUUGGAGCACAUCGCAAAUCCCGUAAAGCUCUGUGUGCCAAGCAGCGUACUGCAAAGAAAGCUGGGCGUGAAUUUGCAGAAGCAGAUGCUGAAAAGCUCAAACUGGUCACCGAGGAACAGAGUAAAAUCCAGAAACAAUUGGACCAGGUACGUAAGCAGCAGAAGGAGCACACCAAUCUUAUUGCAGAGUACCGAAGUAAGCAACAGCAGCAUCAGCAAGGGUCUUCCAUGCUAGCUCCUGGGCCCUCUACACAGGCGCCCCACAUGCUUUCCAAGAUGCCUGGACAAAUGAUGAUCGGCCAACAAGGAGGACCAAUUAUUGGUCAGCCACCUGGAGGGAUGCCUCAAGCAGGGAUGCCUCAAGCAGGGAUGCCUCAAGCAGGGAUGCCUCAAGGAGGGAUGCCUCAAGGAAGUAUCCCAAUUAGAAUGCCACAAAUGCAACCCUUUAGUGGAGCCCAGGCUUCUCUCCCACUUGCAGCUGGCACUGUGCAACCAGUGCCACCUCCUGGUUUUUUCCCACAAGGCCCUGGAGCACAAGGACCAGAUCCAAGAGUUCUACAGGAGCGACAGUUACAGCAUAGAAUGCAAAUGGUCCAAAAAAUGCAGCAGCAGCAACAACAACAACAGUUGAUGAUGGGGCAGCAGCCUAUGUCACAUCAACCUCAGCAGCCUGGUGUAAUGAACCAGCAGCCUGGAGCCAUAGGCAACCAGCCAGCCCAAGUUUUGAUGGGCAAUAUGGGGCAGCAGCAACCAAACCUACAACAAGGAAUAAUUAAUAAUCAGCAAAAUCGGCAGGGGUUAAUUCAGACUCCUCCAGGUAUGAUGGGGAACCAAGCUAUUGGGCAGACACAACAUAAUGUCAUGGGCCAGCCAAUGACCCAAACUGCAAAUAUGCUGGCAGGCCAACCACAGGGUAUGGUUGGUAAUCAACAAAUCGUUCAGCAGCUUCAGAGACCUCAGGGUUUGAUGGAUCAGCAUGUUGUUAGGGGCCCACCAGCCCAGCUCACACCUCAACAGCAGAGUGUAAUGGCUCAGCGCAUGCUCAUGUCACAGCAGCAGCAGAAAAACCUUGCUCAGCUUCAACAGCAACAAAUCUCACAAUUGAAACAACCGCCACAGGCUGGUCCCUCUGAGCCACAAAGAGCUUUAGAAACUCCACCAUCAGGGAGUACCCAAGGAGUUGCUGAGAGCUUGCAACAAGGUGUCCAAGAUCUUCAGAAUCCUGCCCAUAAAGAUGGAGGACUACUUAAUCCGAAAACACCCCCCCAACAGGGUGGACCUCCUACACCACUUCAGAUGCAACAACAGGGAUCCAGUGGAGAUCAGCAUUGUGUUGUUGGACAACCACAGCAACCACAUGCUUUUCUGGGUCAACAACCGACAGCACAGCCUCAACCAACUGAACAACAUGGUUUUGUAGGCAGCCAGCAGACUGGAACACAUCUUAAAGUACAACCACAGCAACAACAGAUGCAACUUGGACUUCAGACCCAGAACACCAUACAAAUAAAACAGGAAGAUCAGCAAAUGUGCUUUAUGGCCCAACAGCAAGCUGGUCAGAUUGCUGCACAACAACCGCAAGAUGUGCUUGGCCAAAAUAGUGGUCAGGCGCAAACUACAAUGACUGGCAUUACAAAUCAACAGCAGCAAGCUCUACUGACUCAACAAAUGGGCAUUCCUAGAGGCCAGCAGAUGAUGAUGACUCCAAGGCCUGGUGCUUCUGCAGGGCCAAUACGUGCCCCUAUUAACAUUCAAGCCUUCAUUGCGCAGAACCCCCAACUGCGACACCUGACUCCCAGCCAACAGUUGCAGCAAAUUCAGGCAAUGAUUGCCCAGCGACAGCUACAACAAGGCCAGAUGCUAAGAAUGCACGGUCAGGCACAGGGACAGAUGCGUCCCCAGGUCCCACAGGGGCCACCAGUUGGUCCACGGCUUCCAGGUCUUGAAACACAACAGCAGCACCGCUUUGGGUUGGCAGGCAAACACGGUCCAGCUGGCCCUCAACAGCAAUCUGGAGCAAUGGGACAACCUGGUAUGGCUACACAGUUUCAUCAAGGUGUUGCGGGGGCUAUGCAACAGCCUUCUCAAGGACCUUUGCCUCAGUACAUCAAUAGUGCCCAGCAGCAGCAGCAGAUGUUACAACAGCAACAACUACAUCAUCAUCAGAUGAUUAGAGGUCAAGUGCCCAGGCCAGUAUUGGGUCAGGUUCGUGCCACAGCACCUGGACAUAUGGCUAGACCAAUGUCUCCUCGCCAGUUAGUGGGUCAGGGUUCUCCUGGAAGCCCGCUUUCUAAUCAGCAAAGGCUUAUGAGAAUGUCUCAGACUCCACCAGGACCACAGCAUCUUCAGCAACAACAGUCCCAUGUGGCGACAGCACUGAGCCCCUUUCAAGCCUCUCCUUCUCAUGCAGGUUCACCUGCAGGGUCCUCUGUUCCAGAACCUGGUUCAAGCCCAGCAUCUUUGAAUAAACCUGAGACAGGCAACCUGUCACUCUCCAGUCACUUGUCUUCGCCUUCUAGGCCAGAUGGUGUUGUAGGAAAGGGUAGCCCCUUUAGCCAGACAGGGGGAUCAGUCGCUUCACCUCUGAGAUCUCCAAAUAUGAAGACUCAGAGUCCCAAUACUGAAGCUCUUUCUGCUUCUUUAACACACAAUGGUCCAUCUCCUCAGUCAGCACCCAACCCACACCAAACACCAACUGCUGCCCAAGUAUCUGAGGGUCAUAUGUCAACUCCAUUGCCCAACGAAAUGUGCAAGAUGACACUGCAAAACAUCAAACAGGAACCACGUGAAAUCCAGUGUGACACAGGAGGUAGUGUAGAGGCCCAUUCUGAGGGCAUAAAGAGAGAAAUUUCUGGAGAGACAGUCAGUGCUACUGCUAUUUCGAACUCUGCUCUGGGCCCCAGAAAUCAAGCAGGAGAUCUUGGAUCCCAAAUUCAAAGGACAGAGACUGGCCAACAGCUACUACAGAAACUCCUUAGAACCAAAAACUUACAACUGGCAUCUCAAAGGCCCUCAGAUGGUAUUCAUAAUGAGAUAAAUGGGCACAUCAAUAGCAAGCUAGCAAUGCUGGAGCAAAAGCUUCAAGGAACUCCACGCAACAUGGAGGAUCUGCAGUCACUCACAAAGAGAACUCCAAUUGUCAAGGCCAAACGUACUACAAAAGCUGGAGAGCGUGGGCCAAACUCUAGAAAGAAAACCAAGAAAGAAGAAGUUGGAAAAACUGAGGCAAUAAUGAAGCAGCUGAAACAAGGGCUUUCUCUUCUUCCUUUGAUGGAGCCCUCCAUUACUGCUAGUCUGGAUUUGUUUCGCUCCCUUUGGUAGCAGCCCAGCCAAUGCCAAGACCCAGUUGAAAGGCUCAUUUGGAAAUGCUAUGCUGGACAAUAUUCCAGAUUACUAUUCCCAGCUUCUUACAAAGAACAACCUCAGCAAUCCUCCAACCCCACCGUCAUCACUUCCCCCAACUCCUCCACCUUCGGUGCAGCACAAACUUCUAAAUGGAGUGACACCUGUAGAGGAACUAGCAGAAGGUCAAAAAGAGACAGAGGCGUCAGAAGAUACCAUGG